GCCUUGUGCGGAUUGUAGCAUCGCAGUCCAAGGAUUGAAACUUAUUUCGAAACUCCACUGGGUAAGCGACACACGGAACUGCAAACAAAGUCAUGAAGUAGUUCCUCGUCUUGACGUCUGUAAUGCUGUCUAUGGAGGCAGAGUCAACGCUAUAAGACUCUUGUGCCACGUAAAGGACGGAUGAUGUGUUAAAUACGUCGGCUUUACAUCACUCUAUCCAAGGAUCAAUAAAUACUUCCAAGCAUGGUGAUCUUUCGUUUCUAUCGAACUUCUAAAAUCAAUGAAACAACACGAGUACUGUGAAUCGAUAAGUGAGCAUGCGUAAAGAUAACUCAGCAUCUAUCAGCGUCACAAGUUUGUGUUUUGAGCAAGCUCGUAAAGAACAGAAUGGUCUAUUGGAAUUCAAUGAAACCAGACAUCCGACACUUGACAUAAAAUCCAGCUAAUAACAAUUGUAUACUAGAGAAAAUGUUUACACCUGAAUAAAAAACUUUGAAAAAAUCUAGUUUCAAAGUAAAUAAUUUCCUAAUACAGCAGAGAAAAGUAGAAAUUCAAGGGAAAAUAUUUAUCAGGUUUUCAAUGGAAUAUUUUCGGUUCAAGAACAGGGUAUUUUAUGACAUAGAUUUAAAAGAGGUUUUUAACUUAGUUAAGAAGAUGUAAUAUAAAUUUCACUACAAAGUAAAUUUGGGAGGUCACUAACGUAUUUUUAGCAUGGUUACUUAAAUAUUAUAACAAUUUCG
RNAcentral lists this long non-coding RNA (740 nucleotides) under Limulus polyphemus (Atlantic horseshoe crab). RNAcentral's name for it is "uncharacterized LOC111087154, transcript variant X5". Lineage: Eukaryota; Metazoa; Arthropoda; Merostomata; Xiphosura; Limulidae. The record is from RNAcentral.